GGAGAAGCAGGCUCCAUGCAGGAAGCCGGAUGCGGGACUCGAUCGCGGGUCUCCAGGAUCACGCCCUGGGCCCCCGUCAGCCCCUAACCCACGGAGCCCCCAGGCCCAGAGACGGUGACUGUACCAUCGAGGAUGCCGCCGGGCCUCACGGACACGGAGGCCUUUGAAGUGGGUGCGACCAGGACGCGCGUGUCUGGCAGGGAGAACCGGGCGGCGGGGAUGAAGCCGCGUGGGGCAGUGUGAGCACGGGAGCCCGAUGCCGGGUGACAACAAACGAGCCAUUUUCUAGGCAAAUGUCCCUCGAUUUCUGAAUAUAAUGAAGUGUGGGGAAUCCCGCGGACGGUGGAAAUGAGAGGCUGACGUGUUGGCGCAGACUUCACGCCAGCAGGCCCACAUGGAAUCAGGAAGGGAAGGACUGAGAGGGGCCGAGGGAUUAGGCUCUUACUUUUCUUUUUCUCUUAACUGCAGGUGAGGAAGUAGAUUUAUAGCUCAAAGGAAAAAAAAAAGGUGUUUUCCCCUCUGGGGUUGAUGGAAGGAGGAGGAUGUUCGCUGAAGUACACUCCGCCUUUGGAGGCCCCAGCUGAAUGCGGUGUUGGCGCCUCCCAGCACCUUCGGGGCACGGACACCGGGACGGCUGCGGGGCCCCAGUGACAGUCCCUAAGUGGGAAGGACGGCACUGAGUCUAGCUCGGACUUUGGCUGACGGUGAGAUGACUCGCGUGUGACUCCCACUGAAUCUGGGAACGCAGUGUGGCCUCUCCUGGGAUUUCUGCAUGGCUGCGCUAGCUGGCAAGCAAUGCCUGGGCCCAGGCAAAGCGAAGGCUUCGGGAGUGUCUGAAGGGUCUGUCCACCCAAGGGUCUGUCCACGCGGCUGCUGUCCCACGGGCUCGCCUUCAGGCUGUGUGAGGAGAACCGAUGAGGUUCUGGAAGCCACCGGAAGACUUUCAAUCAUCAAACAUCCAAUUAUGUUCCCUAUGUCCUAUUUGCUAGGGCAGAGCAGUGGACACUAAGAAAAACAACGGUUCGCCGUAAUAGGACUUGGCUUCGGCUGCACUGACUCCGUCCUCUCCCGGUGCCUGUUUGCCAGUGUGACUUAGCUGCCCGCGAGCAAGCGGCACCACCAGGCCGUGUACCAGGGGAAAGCAUCGACCAUUUGCUUUGGGGUCACCUGGAAGCAGGUAACAUAAAAUGAAAAAAAAUCCUUCAACCACUCCACUGUCUCACUCACGGCCUGCGACUCUUCCAUCCGUCCGUCACUCAUCCACCCCCUCGUGGUCACUGUCCACUACCCUGACCGUGCCCAGGGGAGACCAGGUGCUGGAGCAUUUCCCGCGGUACCGUUAGCGUCUCGUGUGACGUUCGCACACCGUGUCAGGGGCCGCGCGUUGGCCUCCCCCCUCAGCUUCUCAGGUUGGUGCCCUCAUCCCCAAGGUGACGGUANGCCACUCCACUGUCUCACUCACGGCCUGCGACUCUUCCGUCCGUCCAUCACUCAUCCACACCCUCGUGGUCACUGUCCACUACCCUGACCGUGCCCAGGGGAGACCAGGUGCUGGAGCAUUUCCUGCGGUACCGUUCACGUCUCGUGUGACGUUCGCACACCGUGUCAGGGGCCGCGCGAUGGCCUCCCCCCUCAGCUUCUCAGGUUGGUGCCCUCAUCCCCAAGGUGACGGUACUUGGACGCAGUGAGGGUCAGAGUCGGUCAGGACGGUGGUGCCUCCUGAUGGGGUUAGUGGCCUUAUUGGAAGAGGGACAGAGGCAGAUGCCUCUGUGCCUGCCAGGUGAGGGCACAGCCAGAAGGCGGCCAUCUGAGAGCGGGGGACACGGUGCUCACCUGACGCAGAAUCGGCCAGCGCCCAGCCCUUGGGUUCUCCAGUCUCCGGACCUGUGGGCAACCCCAUUUCUGUGGUUAAACCACCCCGUUUAGAGUCUGUCGUAUGCAGCCUGGCCCCAUGCAGAUUUCUGUGUAACAACGGGGAUAAGG
Long non-coding RNA from Vulpes vulpes (red fox), 1983 nucleotides. NCBI's taxonomy places the organism in Eukaryota, Metazoa, Chordata, Mammalia, Carnivora, Canidae. The record is from Ensembl.